CGCCAGCAGCCGCGGUAAUACGUAGGGUCCGAGCGUUGUCCGGAAUUAUUGGGCGUAAAGAGCAUGUAGGUGGUAACUCAAGUCAUAUUUUAAAGGUCAAGGCUUAACUUUGAUUUUGGAUUUGAAACUAGGUUACUUAUGAGUUUAGUAGGGGCAAGCGGAACUCCCGGUGUAGCAGUGAAAUGCGUUGAUAUCGGGAAGAACACCAAUGGCGAAGGCAGCUUGCUAGGCUAAACUGACACUGAGAUGCGAAAGCGUGGGGAGCGAACGGGAUUAGAUACCCCGGUAGUCCACGCCGUAAACGAUGCAGACUAGCUAUCAGAAGUAUCGACCCUUCUUGUAGCGAAGCUAACGCGUUAAGUCUGCCGCCUGGGAAGUACGGCCGCAAGGCUAAAACUUAAAGGAAUUGGCGGGGGA
RNAcentral lists this ribosomal RNA (417 nucleotides) under uncultured bacterium. RNAcentral's name for it is "bacterial SSU rRNA". It matches the Rfam family "Bacterial small subunit ribosomal RNA", at positions 506 to 920 of the family's 1533-position model. The record is from RNAcentral.